CUGCAAUGAGCCCUCCAGAAUGCAGACGUCUGGUCUGGUGGAACUCAAUAGAUUUCUGUUUGCUGCAUGUGCUGCGGGUGCACACACACACAUGCACAAAUGACCACUUUAUGAAAGCAUUUGCGUGCAAUAAAAAGUUAAUUUUUUUCACACUUAAAAUCAGCUUCGCCACCUGCAGUGAUUAUCAAGCAAGCUUCAUUUGGAGACAGAUUUGGAGGCUGGCGGCUCUUUGGCUCUGAGAAAAUCCCUGAAGAAAACAUCUUGGACACCCUGAGGCAUCACCUCACAAGUUGGACACCUGAAAUGCCUUCUAGCAGCAAAACUCAUUCAAAGGAAAUGAACCAAAACAAUUCUUGCAGAACUUUUCUACAGACAGACUGAGAAACUGUGAUAACAAAAUAGCCAGUAGCCAAGCUCGGAUGCUCAGUGGAGCUGAGCUGUGGGUAUGAUUUGCCAAGACUCGUUUGACCUAAUUCAUGCCAGUGACUUGAAGCUUAAUGUUCUGACCAAAAACUUACAGCUCAGCAGUUUACUUACAAGUUUUCUCUGAUAUUUCUAUAUUCUAGGUUUGACCUAGAAAUUUCAGCUUUAAAACUAUGUCUAAUUAAAGAACCAUCUGCUUGUAUAUAUGUAUAUACACACACAUGUUUAUAUAGACACAUAUAUACAUAUAUAUGUUUUAUUUUAAUAAUGUCGGUGAGUAAUGAAAAAUUGAUUUUGACUUUGGGAGUGCACUUUACCCUUUUUGUGUAUGUUUACUGGAUAUAUUUCAAUCUGGUGCUCAGCCGAACAAUAAAACCAAUCUCCAAG
RNAcentral lists this long non-coding RNA (810 nucleotides) under Gallus gallus (chicken). RNAcentral's name for it is "lncRNA (ENSGALG00010004062.1)". Lineage: Eukaryota; Metazoa; Chordata; Aves; Galliformes; Phasianidae. The record is from RNAcentral.